Brassica napus (rape) is the source of this 2069-nucleotide long non-coding RNA. RefSeq lists it as uncharacterized. The record is from RefSeq and is a predicted model, not a curated record. The transcript has 2 exons. Lineage: Eukaryota; Viridiplantae; Streptophyta; Magnoliopsida; Brassicales; Brassicaceae.
UUUUAUUUCAUUUGCCUUUUUGGGACUAUCGGGGAACGAUACGUCAGAUGUUUCUGACGGUGGCCUGGUUGUUGGCCCACCAAAGUUGGCUGGUAGGAACAUGAGGUGAAUAUUUUAACAAAUCUCUCGAGUCGAAGUAUCGCGCAUUUCAGAUGGUGGUACAUAUUCUUAUGACGGCGACAUUCUAACUGUAGGAUGUGAAGUGGGUCUGUCUAGACUUCUCGAUAGAAAGCCGAAUCAGUGUAUAUGUAAUUCCAUAAAUGGUGUCUCCUAAUAGUUGUUGUGUUUAACUAAUCUAUCUUUAGGUAUGUAUGCGCUUUAUUUUUAUCGUACCAAUGUUUAUCUGAGAUAUAGUGUUUGAAUUGUUAAGGUGUAGUUGUAUGUUAUAAAUUUGGGCUGCUUGUUUCACUCAACUGGCUGACAUUAUAUAUCCUUGAUCAUGUUUUGUCAUUCUUAACCGGUAGUCGUCGUCAGCAUCGUUGGGAAGGAUUCUCUCUCUAGGACCAUGUUUCUGCAUAGCAAGUCUUCUACGAUAUUUGUUGGACAAACUGGAUUCUGAGGUCAAAUCAUGUUUCCUUGAUAAAAAACACUCCAGAGAAAGACGACUGAUUUUUUGUCUUAUAUAUGAUCAAAUUGUUGAAAUGGCUAGAAAUACAUAGUAAUAAUAUGAUCUUAUCCUAAUAUUUUUUUGUGUUUAACUAAUCUAUCUUCAGGUAUAUAUGCAUUUUAUUAUUAGGAAAGUUUACUUAAACAACACACAAUUUUAGGACUUAUUAUCAAAACCAUACAAAACUUUUUUUUAUUACUGGCAUUUUCUAAGGCCACCUCCAAGGGGGUCUUUUAAAAGAGGUUCUUAGAAAAAAACCAAAAAAAUAAAUGAAAAAUGAAAUAAAAGCACAUAACCGGUUCUAAUUAUGGCAUUUUUAGAACUAGCCCAUAAGUGUCCUUUUUUCUAUUGGCUAAUUGAUUUGUCCAUGUCUCUCUCUUCGUCGAUGUUUUCCACGGAAGAGUUUUCUAUCUUCCUCCUCCAAUCCCAAUCACUCCAUCUUCUCUGUGGCUUCUGAUCGCGAUCUCCUUCUUGGCAAGUCUUCAGCUUCUUUCUCUUUCCUCUGUAUUCUCGCCGUUUGUUCUCUCUUCAUCGCUUGGAAUCAUCCAGAAAAUGUUGUUAGGUUGAUUUUUUUUCCUCUGUAGCACCCAGCUCGUGUUUAAGAGAUAUUUCCAUCGUAUUUCUUCAUAAAGCUUUGUCCUUUCUAUGGUUAAUGUGGUGAAAGUGAAGACAUUUAGUUUGGAUUCUGUUAUGGGGUCAAAAUCUCAUGAAAUGAAACUGCAUAAGUCUUAUUAGGUGAUAAAAAGACUUUUUUUUGGCGUGGCAAGGAGUGAAAUGGCUCUUAUACAAUUUUGAAGCUCGUGUGUUGUUGCUCAGUGGGGGAUUCGUCGUCCUCAGGUUGCAGUUAAAGCUUCUUUUUAUCCAACCAGAUUGGAAUCUCACCUAGACAACAACGUGGGAGACGCUGGAGUUUCCUCUGUGGCCAAAGCUUGUGCGUCUUCGCUCAAGACGCUCAAGUUGCUAGACUGUUACAAAGUUGGGGAUGAAUCUAUAUCCUCCCUGGCUCAGUUCUAAUAGAAUCUGGAGACUCUGAUCAUCGGUGGAUGCAGAGACAUCUCUGAUGAGUCAAUUAUAUUAAUGGUGGAUUCUUAUAGUGUUGACUACAGGGAAUGCACUAACUUGUUGGUGGACUCUGCUCAUUGUCAUCUUGGACGACUGAGUUUUGAGUAGUGAUCUUGAAUAAGAAUCUUGAGAGAGAUUGUGAGGGAUGGUGAUGAUGAAACCUGUGUGGUGUCAUGGAUGGGGUCAUCAAGUCGCAUAGAUAAAGCUACUUUCUUUGGUGUUAAAAAGCAAUGAAUGAGAAGAAGAUCAAGCAUAUGCUCUUUUUUUGAAAUCAAGGUUUUACAAUAUAUUUUAGUUCAAUAACUGAUAAAAUGUGUUAGUAUUUUUGUUUGAGUUUGCUUUUCCAAAUUUCAAAAACAAUUCAGCAGUGCAAAAGUAAUUUCAAUCAUUUCUCUUAAAA